GACGAACGCUGGCGGCGUGCUUAACACAUGCAAGUCGAACGGAAAGGCCCUGCUUGCAGGGUACUCGAGUGGCGAACGGGUGAGUAACACGUGGGUGAUCUGCCCUGCACUUCGGGAUAAGCCUGGGAAACUGGGUCUAAUACCGGAUAGGAGCCAUUUUUAGUGUGAUGGUUGGAAAGUUUUUUCGGUGUAGGAUGAGCUCGCGGCCUAUCAGCUUGUUGGUGGGGUAAUGGCCUACCAAGGCGGCGACGGGUAGCCGGCCUGAGAGGGUGGACGGCCACAUUGGGACUGAGAUACGGCCCAGACUCCUACGGGAGGCAGCAGUGGGGAAUAUUGCACAAUGGGCGCAAGCCUGAUGCAGCGACGCCGCGUGGGGGAUGACGGCCUUCGGGUUGUAAACGCCUUUCGCUAGGGACGAAGCUUUUUGUGACGAUACCUAGAUAAGAAGCACCGGCUAACUACGUG
Molecule: ribosomal RNA, 465 nt
Filed under: uncultured bacterium
Lineage: Bacteria
Description: partial 16S ribosomal RNA
Rfam family: Bacterial small subunit ribosomal RNA
Source: RNAcentral